Glycine soja is the source of this 2606-nucleotide long non-coding RNA. RefSeq lists it as uncharacterized. NCBI's taxonomy places the organism in Eukaryota, Viridiplantae, Streptophyta, Magnoliopsida, Fabales, Fabaceae. The record is from RefSeq and is a predicted model, not a curated record. The transcript has 3 exons.
CCAAAAUCCCUAAAUCCUUAAACCCUUUCUCCACCAGCCCUACAUGGUUUUUGACCGCAUGGUCGAUGGUGCCAUCUUGAAGUCAUAGACCGCCUCCCUCAUGAAGAGUAUUCUGGAAGCCGUCGCACACUACAAACUCUCCCUCAUUCUCUGGCCCACACACACCUCUCUUCCCUUUUCUCUUUCUCUCUCUCUCUCUUUCUCUCAUUUUCAACAAACCAUUUUUAUUUCUUCUAAAUCCUAAUCACUUUGCGUAGUUGUGUUGUGUGUGCUCCCUUCAACUCACUCACUCAAAUGGAGCGGAAGCAAGGGUUCUUCAUUGUGCUCAAAGACGAGGUGGUUUGUGGCCUCUCGUUGGUGCGAUCACGCGCCAAGAGCCCUGCCAGGAGUGCAUCACCCAUGUCCUUGCUACUCUGCUGUUGCAGGAAGCACCACGUGCCGCCGCCUGAGCUCUUCAUUGCGAGAUCGAGAAGCCUCAGGCUUGCACGUUAUCAGUGACCCUUUUUUAUAUGACUACUCUGGAUAUGGGGCAUCUACUGGCAAGGUAGGCCAUUCUUUGGCAAAUGCAACAUUAUGUGUUCUGUUAUAUUGAAUGGACCACACACACCAACACACACAUAAGCACAAUUUUGUUUUGUUGAAUUUAAAGGGUAAUCCUUGAGCAGGGUACUUUUUAUUCUUUGAUCUGCAAUGCACCUUGCAAUUUCAUUUUGUUUAAUUGUUUUUAUUAUUAUUAUUAUUAUUAUUAUUAUUAUUUUGUCUUGUGUUUGAGGUAAAUGUCAAUAAGAUGCUUGAUAGUGGCUCUGGAUAAAUCCAUGCACACUAUACCUGUUGGGGGCAUGCAACUUACAUUUAUAAGGUAAUAUAUUGAAGGCUAUUGACUAAUGAGAAACAUGCAGCUUACACUCGAGUACAAGGACAAAAUACUAAAUAAUAUAUUAAUAUAUAGGCAAUAUGAUAUAAUCCACUUAUAAAAAUUGAAGCAUGUCACGGAUGUAGGAAAAAUAAUGACUAUGCAAUUUUUUAAAUGUACAGUGGUUCUUUUUUAUGUUGACCAAAAUAUGAAAUCAACUAAAACAAUAAUGCUAAACUAUUUAAUCUACUUGAAUUUAACCUCUUCAUGGAAUCUUUAGCAAGAUUGAAGAAUACUUACUUUUUAAGAUGUCAUUAUUUGGAUUAACUAAUAUUCUGUUCCAUGUAUUGUUUCAUUUGGUCUAAUUGUAAUUUUUUAUUUCAACUCAGCACAUCAAUAAAAUAAAGGUCAAGUGCCUUGUACUUGUAAUACAUGUAAGUAUAUGAUGUACCGAAAUCAUGUUGCUUCUUUUCUCUAUAUUUGUUUCUGUUAACACUUAAAGCAAGUAUAUGGACAAAGCAAAUUACCCAUCAUACUAAAGUUCUUUCCCUUUAUAGGUAGCUAAUAUGAUAGUCCAGUAUGUUAUGGGAAAGAAAAUAAAGAAGGUUUGGGAAUCGGGGAAAUUCUUCACUAGUGAUACUAUUCUCAAAUUAACAUAGUGUAUGGUUGAAGUAAACUUGUAAUGUGACUAUUGUCUAUUCUCGAAAUGAAAAUCAUUUGAAAUGCUUAUGCCUCAAACAUGAACAAGUAGAAACUUCAUAGUGAGAGAGAUUUUCUUAAUGCUUAACCCAGAUUCAUGUUUGAUUAAAUUUUGCUUUAGUUCUACUUACUGCGAAUUGAAUGUUUUGUUAAACAAAUUGUAUCAAAUUUCAUCAUAGGCUAUCAUCUUCUGCAAUUAAACUGAUUUGAAGAUAAUUUUCCCCUUUUGUUCUAGAUUAUAUGUGCCUGGCUUUAUUUAAUUAGUUUGAACUUUAUUUUUGCUUGUAAUGAAAAUAAGCAUUCCAAAAUUAGAUGAAGAAUGUCUAUGUAGGCCAAUAAUUUUUGUAAUCCUACACAAUUUGUAAUCCCUUGUGGAUCAAAGGAGGUGGUCGAUCACUGCAACUUAGAGCUUUACCCCGAUUACAUCCGCCAUCUUUGCAAAUUUAUCCAAGAAAUGGAGAGCAUGACAACCGAGAAGGUGAGAUUGCAACUCACAUUUUAAAAGUGUGAAAAAUAUAUUUAUUUUCUUUUAGUUGUUAUUUUUUAUUGUUGUCCACUUAUUUUUAUCUUAACGGAAAAUAUAUUAUAUAUAUAUAUAUAGUUAAAUUUAUUAGAUUAGUCAGGUUGCAUAAUAUUUAUUUUGUAAGAUAAUAGGUUAAAACAUUAAUCAUCACAUAAAGAUGUUUUGUUUUCAUCAUGUGACUGGUAUUUAUAAGGCUAUGAGUGUUAGGGUUGGACCAACACAGAGAACUGUUCAAGGUAUGUGUUAUAUGUUCUUGACUCUUUUACAUUUGUUAUGUUGUCUAAUUGAUGUUUUAAUUUUGUCCUCUUCAUGUUGCAGACAUAUAUUGAUGUUGAUGGUCAAGAUAGAAAUGCAAAAGUUCUCUUUGAUGAAGAAAAGGUGCAGUUUGUUUCUAUUUUCUAUGAAAUCCAGUGCUUGCUUUAUUGCUAAUUGAAUCCAUCAAUGUGUAUCAAUAUAGUUGUUUAUGUGUUUUACAUUUUUUGAUUCGUCUGUUGUUAAAUAAAUUGUGAAUAAUAGUGACUAGCCAGUGGA